Molecule: ribosomal RNA, 468 nt
Filed under: uncultured bacterium
Lineage: Bacteria
Description: partial 16S ribosomal RNA
Rfam family: Bacterial small subunit ribosomal RNA
Source: RNAcentral
GACGAACGCUGGCGGCGUGCUUAACACAUGCAAGUCGAACGGAAAGGCCCUGCUUUUGUGGGGUGCUCGAGUGGCGAACGGGUGAGUAACACGUGAGUAACCUGCCCUUGACUUUGGGAUAACUUCAGGAAACUGGGGCUAAUACCGGAUAGGAGCUCCUGCUGCAUGGUGGGGGUUGGAAAGUUUCGGCGGUUGGGGAUGGACUCGCGGCUUAUCAGCUUGUUGGUGGGGUAGUGGCUUACCAAGGCUUUGACGGGUAGCCGGCCUGGGAGGGUGACCGGCCACAUUGGGACUGAGAUACGGCCCAGACUCCUACGUGAGGCAGCAGUGGGGAAUAUUGCACAAUGGGCGGAAGCCUGAUGCAGCAACGCCGCGUGCGGGAUGACGGCCUUCGAGUUGUAAACCGCUUUCGCCUGUGACGAAGCGUGAGUGACGGUAAUGGGUAAAGAAGCACCGGCUAACUACGUG